ACCCCCUUAAUUACCCCCUUAAUUAGUGCCCCCCUUAAUUAGUGACCCCCCUUAAUUACCCCCUUAAUUAGUUCCCCCCCUUAAUUAAUACCCCCCUUAAUUACUGACCCCCCUGGGACCACCCAGGCAGCUCCAGGAGUGGCCCAAGGAACGAGCCCUGAUUCGCCGAUUGGAGCAGAUCUGUCACGUGAUCCUCACCGGCCAAUGGCACGAGAGCCCGCCGGGAGCUCAUUACCAUAACGACCCCGCCCCUCCCCCACCCACCUACACCCGGCUCAGACCCCCCCCACCAGGGAAGGAGUUCACGGUUCAGAUCAAAGACGUGAGUUUUGGGGCUAAUUUGGGCGAUUUUGGGUCAUUUUGGGUCAUUUUUGACGUCAUUUUUGGGUUUUUUGGGGUCUUUUAUGGCUAUUUUUGGUCAUUUCGGGUGAUUUUAGCCUCAUUUUUGGGGUAAUUUAGGGCCAUUUUGGGGCCACCCCCCCCCGCACGGUGCAGAUCAAAGACGUGAGUUUUGGGGCUAAUUUGGGCGAUUUUGGGUCAUUUUGUGUCAUUUUUGAGGUCAUUUUUGGGUUUUUUGGGGUCUUUUAUGGCUAUUUUGGGUCUUUCUGGGUCAUUUUGGGGUCAUUUUUGGGGUAAUUCGGUGCCAUUUUGGGGCCACCCCCCCUCAUACGGUGCAGAUCAAAGACGUGAGUUUUGGGGCUAAUUUGGGCGAUUUUGGGUCAUUUUAGGUCAUUUUUGAGGCCGUUUUUGGGUUUUUUGGGGUCAUUUAUGGCUAUUUUGGGUCUUUUUGGGGCCAUUUUCGGUGAUUUUUGUGGUCAUUUGGGGCCAUUUAGGAUGCCCCCCCCCAAAAGGGAAGGAGUUCACGGUGCAGAUCAAAGACAUGAGUUUUGGGGCUAAUUUGGGCGAUUUUGGGUCAUUUUAGGUCAUUUCUGAGGCCAUUUUUGGCUUUUUUGGGGUCAUUUAUGGCUAUUUUGGGUCUUUUUGGGUCAUUUUGGGGUCAUUUUUGGGGUCAUUUCGGGCCAUUUUGAGGCCACCCCCCCCCCACGGUGCAGAUCAAAGACGUGAGUUUUGGGGCUAAUUUGUGCGAUUUUGGGUCAUUUUAGGUUAUUUUUGAGGCCAUUUUUGGGUUUUUUGGGGUCAUUUAUGGCUAUUUUGGGUCUUUUGGGGUGAUUUUGGGGUCGUUUUUGGGGUCAUUUGGGGCCAUUUUGGGAUGCCCCCUCCACCAGGGAAGGAGUUCAGGGUGCAGAUCAAAGACGUGAGUUUUGGGGCUAAUUAUGGCGAUUUUGGGUCAUUUUAGGUCAUUUUUGAGGUCGUUUUUGGCUUUUUUGGGGUCAUUUAUGGCUAUUUUGGGUCUUUUUGGGUCAUUUUAGCCUCAUUUUUGGGGUAAUUUAGAACCAUUUUGGGGCCACCCCCCCCUCACAGUCUAGAUCAAAGACGUGAGUUUUGGGGCUAAU
Long non-coding RNA from Coturnix japonica (Japanese quail), 1454 nucleotides. NCBI's taxonomy places the organism in Eukaryota, Metazoa, Chordata, Aves, Galliformes, Phasianidae. The record is from Ensembl.